This is a small RNA of Hafnia alvei FB1, 94 nucleotides long. It matches the Rfam family "sraA". The record is from Rfam. NCBI's taxonomy places the organism in Bacteria, Pseudomonadati, Pseudomonadota, Gammaproteobacteria, Enterobacterales, Hafniaceae.
UUGUAUCUGAGUAUAUGGGGAUGUUUACCAGGGAUUCAACGCAAACAACAACAGAAAAAAAAAUGGGAGAUAAAAUCCCCCAUUUUAUUGAUAA